This 253-nucleotide ribosomal RNA is filed under the name uncultured bacterium. RNAcentral describes it as "partial 16S ribosomal RNA". It matches the Rfam family "Bacterial small subunit ribosomal RNA", at positions 524 to 776 of the family's 1533-position model. The record is from RNAcentral.
UACGGAGGGUGCGAGCGUUGUCCGGAAUCACUGGGCGUAAAGGGCGCGUAGGCGGCCUGCUAAGUGUGCGGUGAAAGCCUGGGGCUCAACCCCAGGUCUGCCGUGCAAACUGGUGGGCUUGAGCACUGUAGAGGAUGGCGGAAUUCCCGGUGUAGCAGUGAAAUGCGUAGAGAUCGGGAGGAACAUCUGUGGCGAAGGCGGCCAUCUGGACCAGCACUGACACUGAGGCACGAAAGCGUGGGGAGCAAACAGG